GAAGGCCUUCGGGUUGUAAAGCACUUUAAGCAGGGAGAAAAAGUUAUAAGUUAAUACCUUAUAACCGUGAUGUUACCUGCAGAAUAAGCACCGGCUAAUUCCGUGCCAGCAGCCGCGGUAAUACGGAAGGUGCAAGCGUUAAUCGGAAUUACUGGGCGUAAAGCGCGCGUAGGUGGUUUGUUAAGUUGGAUGUGAAAGCCCUGGGCUCAACCUAGGAACUGCAUCCAAAACUAACUCACUAGAGUACGAUAGAGGGAGGUAGAAUUCAUAGUGUAGCGGUGGAAUGCGUAGAUAUUAUGAAGAAUACCAGUGGUGAAGGCGGCCUCCUGGAUCUUUACUGACACUGAGGUGCGAAAGCGUGGGUAGCGAACAGGAUUAGAUACUCUGGUAGUCCACGCCGUAAACGAUGACAACUAGCUGUUGGGAGACAAUGUCUUUCAGUGGCGCAGCUAACGUUU
Molecule: ribosomal RNA, 458 nt
Filed under: uncultured Gammaproteobacteria bacterium
Lineage: Bacteria; Pseudomonadati; Pseudomonadota; Gammaproteobacteria
Description: bacterial SSU rRNA
Rfam family: Bacterial small subunit ribosomal RNA
Source: RNAcentral